This 775-nucleotide ribosomal RNA is filed under the name uncultured Neocallimastigales. RNAcentral's name for it is "partial large subunit ribosomal RNA". It matches the Rfam family "Eukaryotic large subunit ribosomal RNA", at positions 23 to 633 of the family's 3401-position model. The record is from RNAcentral. Lineage: Eukaryota; Fungi; Neocallimastigomycota; Neocallimastigomycetes; Neocallimastigales.
GAGACUCUGUGCGCGUGCAUAUCAAUAAGCGGAGGAAAAGAAACUAACAAGGAUUCCCCUAGUAACGGCGAGUGAAGCGGGAAGAGCUCAAAUUUGAAAUCUUCAAGGGUUCUACCUUUACGAAUUGUAGUUUAAAGAAGUGUUUUCUGUUGGAGUUUAGGUAAAAGUUCUUUGGAAUAGGACAUCAUAGAGGGUGAGAAUCCCGUAUUUGGCCAUUAUUUCCAACUUUGUGAUACACUUUCAAAGAGUCGGAUUGUUUGGGAAUGCAGUCCAAAAUGGGUGGUAAAUUUCAUCUAAAGCUAAAUACUGGCGAGAGACCGAUAGCGAACAAGUACCGUGAGGGAAAGAUGAAAAGAACUUUGAAAAGAGAGUUAAACAGUACGUGAAAUUGUCAAAAGGGAAGCGUUUGACACCAGUGUUGUUUUCUCGAAAAUCAAUUAAAAAUGGUGGGAUUUUGUGUUGUAUUGACUUUAUCAGCUUUCUGCACUUUUUUCCUAUCUUUUUUAAUGCACUUUUCGUUUAACAAGUCAACAUCAAUUUCUUUUGUUGUAAAAGGGUCAUUGGAAGGUGGCUUUCUUUUCGGAGAAAGUGUUUAUAGCCUUUGGCUUCUGCAAUCGGAGAGAUUGAGGUCUGCAGCGUAGAUCCUUCGGGGUUAGAUACAUUUGUGCUAAGUUAUAGCCUUUCAUAGACAACUUGUUGACUAUGAUCAGUCAUGUAGCUUACUCGCUUAUGCUAUUUUACCUACGCUUAGGAUGUUGACAGCAGUAUAGACUGU